UUGAUCCUGGCUCAGGAUGAACGCUGGCGGUCUGCUUAACACAUGCAAGUCGAACGCAACCUUCGGGUUGAGUGGCGGACGGGUGAGUAACGCGUGAGAAUCUGCCUUGGGGUCGGGGACAACCACUGGAAACGGUGGCUAAUACCGGAUAAGCCUUUGGGUAAAAGAUUUAUUGCCCCAAGAGGAGCUCGCGUCUGAUUAGCUAGUUGGUGAGGUAAAAGCUCACCAAGGCAGCGAUCAGUAGCUGGUCUGAGAGGACGAUCAGCCACACUGGGACUGAGACACGGCCCAGACUCCUACGGGAGGCAGCAGUGGGGAAUUUUCCGCAAUGGGCGAAAGCCUGACGGAGCAAGACCGCGUGAGGGAGGAAGGCUCUUGGGUUGUAAACCUCUUUUCUCAGGGAAGAAGCUCUGACGGUACCUGAGGAAUCAGCCUCGGCUAAACUCCGUGCCAGCAGCCGCGGUAAUACGGAGGAGGCAAGCGUUAUCCGGAAUUAUUGGGCGUAAAGCGUCCGCAGGUGGCGAUUCAAGUCUGCUGUCAAAGCACGGGGCUUAACUCCGUUAAGGCAGUGGAAACUGAAUAGCUAGAGUGCCG
RNAcentral lists this ribosomal RNA (594 nucleotides) under uncultured organism. Its description in RNAcentral is "bacterial SSU rRNA". It matches the Rfam family "Bacterial small subunit ribosomal RNA", at positions 13 to 651 of the family's 1533-position model. The record is from RNAcentral.